This 480-nucleotide ribosomal RNA is filed under the name uncultured organism. RNAcentral describes it as "partial 16S ribosomal RNA". It matches the Rfam family "Bacterial small subunit ribosomal RNA", at positions 329 to 800 of the family's 1533-position model. The record is from RNAcentral.
ACGUACACUCCUGCGGGAGGCAGCAGUGGGGAAUUUUGGACAAUGGGCGAAAGCCUGAUCCAGCCAUGCCGCGUGCAGGAUGAAGGCCUUCGGGUUGUAAACUGCUUUUGUACGGAACGAAACGGCCUUUUCUAAUAAAGAGGGCUAAUGACGGUACCGUAAGAAUAAGCACCGGCUAACUACGUGCCAGCAGCCGCGGUAAUACGUAGGGUGCAAGCGUUAAUCGGAAUUACUGGGCGUAAAGCGUGCGCAGGCGGUUAUGUAAGACAGUUGUGAAAUCCCCGGGCUCAACCUGGGAACUGCAUCUGUGACUGCAUAGCUAGAGUACGGUAGAGGGGGAUGGAAUUCCGCGUGUAGCAGUGAAAUGCGUAGAUAUGCGGAGGAACACCGAUGGCGAAGGCAAUCCCCUGGACCUGUACUGACGCUCAUGCACGAAAGCGUGGGGAGCAAACAGGAUUAGAAACCCCAGUAGUCCCAUGA